AACGCACAUUGCGCCCCCUGGCACUCCGGGGGGCAUGCCUGUCUGAGCGUCAUCGCACACCCCCUCGGGCCACGGCCCGGUCGUGGGGCGCGCCGCGGCCAGCCCGCGGCGGCCCCGAAUUGCAUCGGACUGCGGCCCCGGCCCCGGGCGCGCGUACGUGUUUGAUCGCCGACAGCGGCACCUCACGUCCGUAGCGCCGCGGUGGGCACGGGGACCGCGGAUGUCCGAGGGCUCCGCCCGAACCAGACGCACUUGACCUCAGAUCAGGUAGGGAUACCCGCUGAACUUAA
This 290-nucleotide unclassified non-coding RNA is filed under the name uncultured fungus. RNAcentral's name for it is "partial contains 5.8S ribosomal RNA, internal transcribed spacer 2, and large subunit ribosomal RNA". The stretch from base 1 to 52 matches the Rfam family "5.8S ribosomal RNA", at positions 103 to 154 of the family's 154-position model. Lineage: Eukaryota; Fungi. The record is from RNAcentral.